RNAcentral lists this unclassified non-coding RNA (201 nucleotides) under uncultured Cortinariaceae. RNAcentral describes it as "sequence contains ITS2". Lineage: Eukaryota; Fungi; Basidiomycota; Agaricomycetes; Agaricales; Cortinariaceae. The record is from RNAcentral.
AAUUCUCAAAUGACCUAGUCUUUCGAGACUAUGGUUACUUGGAUGUGAGGGUUUUGCUGGCUCUUCCAAGUCCUAGCUCCCUUUAAAUGCAUUAGUGGGUUAGCUUUUUCUAUUCACUUAGAGUGUGAUAAUAUCUACGCUCGUUUUGAAUGCAAAGCUUUUCAAACUCGCUUCUAAUCGUCUUUGAGACAAUUUUUGACU